AAAGCCUCCGAAUAGUGAGAAGGUGCAAUAUUUGAAUACUUUCUGGUUCAGGCAGAGGCUUAUAUUAAAACUCGAAUCAGUUUUUGAGGGUGAAAAAAAGCUCUCUUUUUUGUACCCAUCAAACUUUUCACUCCUUAUUGGAUAGAUUCGAAGAUGU
Brassica napus (rape) is the source of this 157-nucleotide non-coding RNA. The record is from Rfam. Lineage: Eukaryota; Viridiplantae; Streptophyta; Magnoliopsida; Brassicales; Brassicaceae.